Long non-coding RNA from Cyprinus carpio carpio, 885 nucleotides. The record is from Ensembl. NCBI's taxonomy places the organism in Eukaryota, Metazoa, Chordata, Actinopteri, Cypriniformes, Cyprinidae.
GGUGUGCCGUGUCUGAAGUGGUGUGUCUGCACAAUAAAUCGUUUGAAGUGAAGUUACAGAGUGUGGGGAAGAUAUGUAGAGUUAAUGCCGGACGCUCACCACCCCGAGAGCCCACCACCGUCACCGUAAUCCACACCCAGGCACUGACCGAAGCAUCUCCCAGCCAUCGCAGGAUCCUCUGGGCUGAACGCCGCAUGUGAUGUCCCUAUGAAAGGAGGUGGACACACGAAUUAUUCCUUUCUCGGUCUUAACUGAAGCAUCUCCCAGCCGUAAGCCCAUCACCCAUUAAAGACUACAUACCUGCUGUCGAUUGCUUACUCUGCUGUGCAGAUCGUAGGAUCCCCUGGGACGAAUGCUGCAUGUGAUGUCCCUAUGAAAAGAGAUUGCAGGAUCCUCUGGGCUGGACGCUGCAUGUGAUGUCCCUGUAAAAGGAGGUGGACACACGAAUUAUUCCUUUCUCGGUCUUAACUGAAGCAUCUCCCAGCCGUAAGCCCAUCACCCAUUAAAGACUACAUACCUGCUGUCGAUUGCUUACUCUGCUGUGCAGAUCGUAGGAUCCCCUGGGACGAAUGCUGCAUGUGAUGUCCCUAUGAAAAGAGAUUGCAGGAUCCUCUGGGCUGGACGCUGCAUGUGAUGUCCCUGUAAAAGGAGGUGGACACGAGAAUUAUUCCUUUUCCCGGUCUCGACCGAAACAUCCACGAGCUCUACUUACCCGGAUAUCCCCCCCUCAUUCCGGGACGGGUGACAGACUAUCCUGGCUCUUGCCGGCCCCGUACAGGCACGAACUGCCGACGACUCCACGCCUCCCCGGCGUCCGAGGUCUGGCUUCGUUCUGGUCGGGAGACACGGAAGGAACACUGAACUUUUUAAAUUGCUUUUUAACCA